CGGGGUGAGGCUGUUUCCCGAGCACCCCCCACCCCCGCAGAGGCGCCCCCCCGCGGGGUUACAUCAACACGCCCCCGCCGCGUGGAGGGCUCGGCAGGAGCCGCGCCUCCCACCCCCUCGCGGCCUCCCUCCCUCCCGGCCGAGGCUGCUAUUUUCGGCACCACGUUAUUUCCUGCUGUGAUUUUUUUCAGCCUGCUAAUUCGGGCUCUGAGAAGGAACUCCAUCCAACAGGAUGUCCUGCCUCAGUUUCUCCAGGACCAGGAUGUGGAAAGACUGGGCUGUGUAAUCCUAAAAUUUCUGGUUCUCAUCUCCAUCCUCAUCAGCUCCAUUCUAUUCUUCCUGGUUUCCACCAGCCAAGUUCAAGCCCGGUUGGCCAGCUGGGGCCGGUGCCCGGCUCGUUCUGUCCCCUCCGCCGGCAUUGUCCUCUCUCUUACCCACCUGCAAAUUCUUACUUAUCCUUCAAAAGCCAGCUGUGAUGUCACCACCUCUCAUACCUUUGACUCCUAGGGCGUCUGCCAGCUACUUUUUAAAUUUUAAAAAAGCUCAGGCAGGAUAAACAGAAUAACUAGAUUACUGAAAUUCUUUGUUUUUGCCUUACUGCGAACUAAUUCAGUGCAGUCAUGCUAGUUAUUACCUCUCGUUGCUCUGAAGCACUUACUGGCAAUUGUGUAACUAUUUGAGUACUGACAACUUGGAAAUGAAUAAUAAAUGCAAUUGGUUUGGCUGA
Molecule: long non-coding RNA, 727 nt
Filed under: Dasypus novemcinctus (nine-banded armadillo)
Lineage: Eukaryota; Metazoa; Chordata; Mammalia; Cingulata; Dasypodidae
Description: lncRNA (ENSDNOG00000049972.1)
Source: RNAcentral